RNAcentral lists this ribosomal RNA (90 nucleotides) under uncultured bacterium. RNAcentral describes it as "partial 16S ribosomal RNA". The record is from RNAcentral.
UAAACUCCUGUCAGAUGGGAAGAAAGUACUAUAUUUAAUAGAUGUAAGAAAUGACGGUACCAUCAGAGGAAGCACCGGCUAACUUCGUGC